AAUCCAUAGGUUAAUGAGGCGAACCGGGGGAACUGAAACAUCUAAGUACCCCGAGGAAAAGAAAUCAACCGAGAUUCCCCCAGUAGCGGCGAGCGAACGGGGAGGAGCCCAGAGCCUGAAUCAGCAUGUGUGUUAGUGGAAGCGUCUGGAAAGGCGCGCGAUACAGGGUGACAGCCCCGUACACAAAAGCGCAUGUGCUGUGAGCUCGAUGAGUAGGGCGGGACACGUGGUAUCCUGUCUGAAUAUGGGGGGACCAUCCUCCAAGGCUAAAUACUCCUGACUGACCGAUAGUGAACCAGUACCGUGAGGGAAAGGCGAAAAGAACCCCGGCGAGGGGAGUGAAAAAGAACCUGAAACCGUGUACGUACAAGCAGUGGGAGCACAGGUUUACCUGUGUGACUGCGUACCUUUUGUAUAAUGGGUCAGCGACUUAUAUUCUGUAGCAAGGUUAACCGAAUAGGGGAGCCGGAGGGAAACCGAGUCUUAAUUGGGCGUUAAGUUGCAGGGUAUAGACCCGAAACCCGGUGAUCUAGCCAUGGGCAGGUUGAAGGUUGGGUAACACUAACUGGAGGACCGAACCGACUAAUGUUGAAAAAUUAGCGGAUGACCUGUGGCUGGGGGUGAAAGGCCAAUCAAACCGGGAGAUAGCUGGUUCUCCCCGAAAGCUAUUUAGGUAGCGCCUCGUGAAUUCAUCUCCGGGGGUAGAGCACUGUUUCGGCUAGGGGGCCAUCCCGGCUUACCAACCCGAUGCAAACUGCGAAUACCGGAGAAUGUUAUCACGGGAGACACACGGCGGGUGCUAACGUCCGUCGUGAAGAGGGAAACAACCCAGACCGCCAGCUAAGGUCCCAAAGUCAUGGUUAAGUGGGAAACGAUGUGGGAAGGCCCAGACAGCCAGGAUGUUGGCUUAGAAGCAGCCAUCAUUUAAAGAAAGCGUAAUAGCUCACUGGUCGAGUCGGCCUGCGCGGAAGAUGUAACGGGGCUAAACCAUGCACCGAAGCUGCGGCAGCGACACUGUGUGUUGUUGGGUAGGGGAGCGUUCUGUAAGCCUGUGAAGGUGUGUCGUGAGGCAUGCUGGAGGUAUCAGAAGUGCGAAUGCUGACAUAAGUAACGAUAAAGCGGGUGAAAAGCCCGCUCGCCGGAAGACCAAGGGUUCCUGUCCAACGUUAAUCGGGGCAGGGUGAGUCGACCCCUAAGGCGAGGCCGAAAGGCGUAGUCGAUGGGAAACGGGUUAAUAUUCCCGUACUUGGUGUUACUGCGAAGGGGGGACGGAGAAGGCUAUGUUGGCCGGGCGACGGUUGUCCCGGUUUAAGCGUGUAGGCUGGUUUUCCAGGCAAAUCCGGAAAAUCAAGGCUGAGGCGUGAUGACGAGGCACUACGGUGCUGAAGCAACAAAUGCCCUGCUUCCAGGAAAAGCCUCUAAGCAUCAGGUAACAUCAAAUCGUACCCCAAACCGACACAGGUGGUCAGGUAGAGAAUACCAAGGCGCUUGAGAGAACUCGGGUGAAGGAACUAGGCAAAAUGGUGCCGUAACUUCGGGAGAAGGCACGCUGACACGUAGGUGAAGUGAUUUACUCAUGGAGCUGAAGUCAGUCGAAGAUACCAGCUGGCUGCAACUGUUUAUUAAAAACACAGCACUGUGCAAACACGAAAGUGGACGUAUACGGUGUGACGCCUGCCCGGUGCCGGAAGGUUAAUUGAUGGGGUCAGCGCAAGCGAAGCUCCUGAUCGAAGCCCCGGUAAACGGCGGCCGUAACUAUAACGGUCCUAAGGUAGCGAAAUUCCUUGUCGGGUAAGUUCCGACCUGCACGAAUGGCGUAAUGAUGGCCAGGCUGUCUCCACCCGAGACUCAGUGAAAUUGAACUCGCUGUGAAGAUGCAGUGUACCCGCGGCAAGACGGAAAGACCCCGUGAACCUUUACUAUAGCUUGACACUGAACAUUGAGCCUUGAUGUGUAGGAUAGGUGGGAGGCUUUGAAGUGUGGACGCCAGUCUGCAUGGAGCCGACCUUGAAAUACCACCCUUUAAUGUUUGAUGUUCUAACGUGGACCCGUUACCCGGGUUGCGGACAGUGUCUGGUGGGUAGUUUGACUGGGGCGGUCUCCUCCUAAAGAGUAACGGAGGAGCACGAAGGUUGGCUAAUCCUGGUCGGACAUCAGGAGGUUAGUGCAAUGGCAUAAGCCAGCUUGACUGCGAGCGUGACGGCGCGAGCAGGUGCGAAAGCAGGUCAUAGUGAUCCGGUGGUUCUGAAUGGAAGGGCCAUCGCUCAACGGAUAAAAGGUACUCCGGGGAUAACAGGCUGAUACCGCCCAAGAGUUCAUAUCGACGGCGGUGUUUGGCACCUCGAUGUCGGCUCAUCACAUCCUGGGGCUGAAGUAGGUCCCAAGGGUAUGGCUGUUCGCCAUUUAAAGUGGUACGCGAGCUGGGUUUAGAACGUCGUGAGACAGUUCGGUCCCUAUCUGCCGUGGGCGCUGGAGAACUGAGGGGGGCUGCUCCUAGUACGAGAGGACCGGAGUGGACGCAUCACUGGUGUUCGGGUUGUCAUGCCAAUGGCACUGCCCGGUAGCUAAAUGCGGAAGAGAUAAGUGCUGAAAGCAUCUAAGCACGAAACUUGCCCCGAGAUGAGUUCUCCCUGAGACUUAGAGUCUCCUGAAGGAACGUUGAAGACGACGACGUUGAUAGGCCGGGUGUGUAAGCGCAGCGAUGCGUUGAGCUAACCGGUACUAAUGAACCGUGAGGCUUAACCUUACAACGCCG
RNAcentral lists this ribosomal RNA (2755 nucleotides) under Salmonella enterica subsp. enterica serovar Enteritidis. RNAcentral's name for it is "partial 23S ribosomal RNA". It matches the Rfam family "Bacterial large subunit ribosomal RNA". Lineage: Bacteria; Pseudomonadati; Pseudomonadota; Gammaproteobacteria; Enterobacterales; Enterobacteriaceae. The record is from RNAcentral.